GACGGUAUAGCUCAAGUAUUAGAGCAUGUGGUUAUCAUACACAAGGUCCUGGGUUCAAUUCCCAGUACCUCCU
RNAcentral lists this transfer RNA (73 nucleotides) under Camelus bactrianus (Bactrian camel). It matches the Rfam family "tRNA". Rfam says of the family: Transfer RNA (tRNA) molecules are approximately 80 nucleotides in length. RNAcentral also lists the same sequence under 2 other names. The record is from Rfam by way of RNAcentral. Lineage: Eukaryota; Metazoa; Chordata; Mammalia; Artiodactyla; Camelidae.